Molecule: transfer RNA, 89 nt
Filed under: Gordonia insulae
Lineage: Bacteria; Bacillati; Actinomycetota; Actinomycetes; Mycobacteriales; Gordoniaceae
Description: tRNA-Thr
Source: RNAcentral
UGUCGACGGUCGGCCGGGCGGCGUCGAGGAGUGGCUGGUGGCCGCUCGUGGUGAUCGUCCGGAUCGGUUCGGCUACCGGGGUGGACAUC